UCAAGAAAUAGAAAUCUAAAUUCCAAACCAAAUAGAAAAUUGAAAUUCACAGAGAACAACAGUAAAUCUUAUCCGAAAGUUAUAAAAUAAUGAUGUGGGGAUAUCUAUAUCUUUUUAAACCUGCAAAUAUAAUUAAAUUAAUUUCAGAUAUAAUCAGAUACAAUGAUCAGAAAACAAAAACAACAGACAAGUUUACCCUAGAGAACAACAAAAUCGAAUGAUGUUAAUCAAAUUACCAGGAGAACAAGUACAAGAAAGGUUGUUAAUCGUGGAACAAAAAAGGAUGUUAAAAGAAAUAAAAAAUAGUUUAAAAGUCAUAAAUCGUCCGAACUCUAAUCAUGGAACAAGAAAGGACGUUAAUUGUCUGAACCGUAGUCAUGGAAAAAUCAAAGAUAAAAUUUCAAAUUCAAAAUCAUUAUUAACCUUAAGGGGAUACUGGCAGGAAUCGAACCGUAGAUGUCGGCGACGUCUUGUUGAUUACGGCCUAGAAAUUAAACAAAAAUAGAAGAAAUAGCAAACCUAUUAGGGCUGAGAUAAACAAAAUAUAAAACAUAAUAAACAAGUAAAACUGAAAGUAAGUUUCAAAGAGAAGAUCUAAACCCCAGAAAGAUCGACUUCAGUGGUCGUCUUCAACUUCAAAUUGUAAAAAAUGAUAGGUUAAAUAUGAAACUAUUUAGGUUGGCGACAGAGAAAAAAAAACCUGAACCAACAAACGAUUUCAUUGUACCUCACAUGAAAACGCAGAGUAGGUGAGACGGUGGAGCUUGGCAGCAAGUAAGGGUGUCGGUAGAAGAACGAGACGAUUCAAGGAGGAAAAAACACGAAGAUGUCGUGAAACAGGAAUCAAGGCUUCAUAAAAGGAAGGUCAAUAGCCCCAAUUAAGUCACACCUCUCAAUAAAACCCACCAAAAAUAAAAACAAAAUCUUAUAAAAAGAGUAAUGUGUAGAUGGAGAACAAACCUACAAACAGUUUGAUUUUCCCAGUUAAUUAACUCACACACCUUCCUUCCUGAUCUUUUUGACAGCAACAACAAAAUCCAUUUCCUGGAGUAUUUUACUCAAUCAUGUAGGCAACAACAACACCUUUCUUCCUGAUCUUUUUGACAGCAACAUCACAACCUAUUUCUUGAAGUAACUCGAUGAUGUAAGCAACAAUAACACGUUCCUUGCUGAUCUUUUCUCAUCUAUCAUGAUUAAGUUGCAGAACAUCAGCAGACAAAUUAAAAAAAAUCUACAACUAAGAACCCUAAUUUUAAAGAAGAAGAAGAUGGUUAAUGAAGUGAUUAUUAUAGCAUUUGAUAGGAAGAGAUGGAGCCAGUAAUUGAAACGGGAAGUAAACAUAACACUUAUCCGAACAUCUGCUCAUCAUUGUCGUCAGUUGAACCACCACCGACACACACCCCAAAAACCACGGGGGGUUCUUGGGGUCGAUGAAUUAAAUGGGGAAGGCUUUGCUUCAAUUGGGGUCGCUGGAAACAGAAGAGAGAUAAAGAUAUAAAUGAAACCCAAAAAUGAAUGUGAUGAAGAGAAAGAAAGCGGUUUAUAGCAAGUGUCUUUUUUGAUGAAAGAAAACCAUUAGUGAAAGUGGUGGUGGUAGAAAACGGUGAAUGACUAAUCACGGAGUGGAAGGUGACUUGGCUUGGGGAUGAAGGUGUGCAAAGAAAAUAGAUGGCCACCUGUCAAACGUGUAGGGCGGUGGAGAAAUAGUGGAAGACUGCUUGCAGAGCGACGGUAGAAGACAGAGGCAAGUAACUUUGGUUCCUCCAAACUUGCAGUCUCAUUGGGGGAGAAGGGCGGUGCAGCAGGCAAAUCGUGAAGCAGACGCGCCCCCAUUUUAAGGGGAUUAAUAAAAGCGCCAAAAAGGAUAUGAAGAAGCAUGAGAUAAGGAUAGGAGGGCAAGCUGGUGAUAACGGAGUGAUGGAAGGGGGAAGGAGGUGCAACCAUCCGAUCUCCAAACUGGUAUCUUGUCGGUUCCUUCCUAAGCCUGAGCUAAGGAUAACGGUCAUCCACUGGAAUUGAACUUGAAUCAGAAGUUUAUGAAGACGAUUGUAAUUGUAGUGAAAAAAGAUUGAAGUUAAACCAGAAAGGAUUAAUAAACGAGAGAAUGGCAAAUCGUAUCCAACAAUCUAACUUCUAAUCUGUGGGUUAAAGGGCGGUGAUAACGGAGGUAACAUCAAC
This 2178-nucleotide long non-coding RNA is filed under the name Lactuca sativa (garden lettuce). RNAcentral's name for it is "long non-coding RNA (LSAT_LNC003292)". Lineage: Eukaryota; Viridiplantae; Streptophyta; Magnoliopsida; Asterales; Asteraceae. The record is from RNAcentral.